Molecule: long non-coding RNA, 353 nt
Organism: Ochlerotatus camptorhynchus
Lineage: Eukaryota; Metazoa; Arthropoda; Insecta; Diptera; Culicidae
Exons: 2
Source: RefSeq, a predicted model, not a curated record
AACCAGUUUGCUAAGCGCAGACGUUAUAGGAUUCAGCAGAAAGGAAUAAACAAAAUUCACACAAGGAGAAUCCCCGGCUAUAUUUGAGAAUUACGAAAACGUUUUCCGGACGUGUUGCUAUUUAACCACAAUUAACAUAACCAAAUUCUUCAUUCGCAUCCAAGCUUUGAACCAGUCAGGAUGUUGUACAAAAGUGAACAAAAGUGGUUGUUAACUAUAAGCAUUCUAGUGUGGAUACUGGCCAUAGUUCCGCACUUAACUAGUGCAAGUCCCCAUAUUGAAGAUGAACUUGACGAGAUAAAAGAAAAGUUGGAUGAAGUGUUUACCAGUACGAUGCCCAGUGAUUAUUACAA